RNAcentral lists this ribosomal RNA (253 nucleotides) under uncultured bacterium. Its description in RNAcentral is "partial 16S ribosomal RNA". It matches the Rfam family "Bacterial small subunit ribosomal RNA", at positions 524 to 776 of the family's 1533-position model. The record is from RNAcentral.
UACAGAGGUCUCAAGCGUUGUUCGGAUUCAUUGGGCGUAAAGGGCUCGUAGGCGGUUUGUCGCGUCGGGAGUGAAAAUCCAGGGCUUAACUCUGGACUGGCUUCCGAUACGGGCAGACUAGAGGUAUGCAGGGGAGAACGGAAUUCCUGGUGUAGCGGUGAAAUGCGCAGAUAUCAGGAGGAACACCGGUGGCGAAGGCGGUUCUCUGGGCAUUACCUGACGCUGAGGAGCGAAAGUGUGGGGAGCGAACAGG